GAGUUUGAUCCUGGCUCAGGAUGAACGCUGGCGGCGUGCCUAAUACAUGCAAGUCGAGCGAACAGAUAAGGAGCUUGCUCCUUUGACGUUAGCGGCGGACGGGUGAGUAACACGUGGGUAACCUACCUAUAAGACUGGGAUAACUCCGGGAAACCGGGGCUAAUACCGGAUAAUAUUUAGAACCGCAUGGUUCUAAAGUGAAAGAUGGCCUGCAUCACUUAUAGAUGGACCCGCGCCGUAUAAAAAGUUGGUAAGGUAACGGCUUACCAAGGCAACGAUACGUAGCCGCCUGAGAGGGUGAUCG
RNAcentral lists this ribosomal RNA (304 nucleotides) under uncultured Staphylococcus sp. Its description in RNAcentral is "bacterial SSU rRNA". It matches the Rfam family "Bacterial small subunit ribosomal RNA", at positions 9 to 306 of the family's 1533-position model. Lineage: Bacteria; Bacillati; Bacillota; Bacilli; Caryophanales; Staphylococcaceae. The record is from RNAcentral.